CAAUAGCGUAUAUUUAAGUUGCUGCAGUUAAAAAGCUCGUAGUUGGAUUUCGGGUGGGAAUGGCCGGUCCGCCGUUUCGGUGUGCACUUGCUACGCCCACCUUGCUGCCGGGGACGUGCUCUUGAGUUCACGCUCGGGACACGGAGUCGGCGAGGUUACUUUGAGUAAAUUAGAGUGUUCAAAGCAGGCCUACGCUCUGAAUACAUUAGCAUGGAAUAAUGGAAGAGGACCUCGGUCCUAUUUUGUUGGUUUCUAGGGCCGAAGUAAUGAUUAAGAGGGACAGUUGGGGGCAUUCGUAUUUAAUUGUCAGAGGUGAAAUUCUCGGAUUUAUGAAAGACGAACAACUGCGAAAGCAUUUGCCAAGGAUGUUUUCAUUAA
This 378-nucleotide ribosomal RNA is filed under the name uncultured eukaryote. Its description in RNAcentral is "partial 18S ribosomal RNA". It matches the Rfam family "Eukaryotic small subunit ribosomal RNA", at positions 592 to 976 of the family's 1831-position model. The record is from RNAcentral.